This 397-nucleotide ribosomal RNA is filed under the name uncultured bacterium. Its description in RNAcentral is "partial 16S ribosomal RNA". It matches the Rfam family "Bacterial small subunit ribosomal RNA", at positions 360 to 774 of the family's 1533-position model. The record is from RNAcentral.
AAUCUUGCGCAAUGGGCGAAAGCCUGACGCAGCCAUGCCGCGUGAAUGAUGAUGGUCUUUGGAUUGUAAAAUUCUUUCACCGGGGACGAUAAUUACGGUACCCGGAGAAGAAGCCCCGGCUAACUUCGUGCCAGCAACCGCGGGAAUACGAAGGGGGCUAGCGUUUCUCGGAAUUACUUGGCGUAAAGGGCGCGUAGGCGGAUCGUUAAGUCAGAGGUGAAAUCCCAGGGCGCAACCCUGGAACUGCCUUUGAUACUGGCGAUCUUGAGUAUGAGAGAGGUAUGUGGAACUCCGAGUGUAGAGGUGAAAUUCGUAGAUAUUCGAAAGAACACCAGUGGCGAAGGCGACAUACUGGCUCAUUACUGACGCUGAGGCGCGAAAGCGUGGGGAGCAAAAA